GAGUAUGAGUCUGAGGUGGAGGGAGUCAUGGUAGGACAAGCAUUUAGAAAGUUUCUUCCACUCUUUGACCGAGUAUUGGUUGAAAGGAGUGCUGCUGAAACUGUAACCAAAGGAGGUAUUAUGCUUCCAGAAAAAUCUCAAGCAACAGUAGUUGCUAUUGGAUCGCAUUCUAAAGGAAAGGGUGGAGAGAUUCAACCAGUUAGCGUUAAAGUUGGAGAUAAAGUUCUUCUCCCAGAAUAUGGAGGCACCAAAGUAGUUCUAGAUGACAAGGAUUAUUUCCUAUUUAGAGAUGGUGACAUUCUUGGAAAGUACGUAGACUGAAAUAAGUCACUAUUGAAAUGGCAUCAACGUGAAGCUGCCCAUUCCACUGAAGUUCUGAAAUCUUUCAUCAUGUAAAUAAUUUCCAUAUUUCUCUUUUAUAAUAAACUAAUGAUAACUAA
This is an RNA transcript of Mandrillus leucophaeus (drill), 440 nucleotides long. It is a transcript of the gene named 10 kDa heat shock protein, mitochondrial pseudogene, with no coding region annotated. The record is from RefSeq and is a predicted model, not a curated record. Lineage: Eukaryota; Metazoa; Chordata; Mammalia; Primates; Cercopithecidae. The transcript has a single exon.